AAAGCCGGAAUAGCUCAGUUGGUAGAGCAGAGGACUGAAAAUCCUCGUGUCACCA
This 55-nucleotide transfer RNA is filed under the name Crossomitrium rotundifolium. RNAcentral's name for it is "partial tRNA-Phe". It matches the Rfam family "tRNA", at positions 1 to 50 of the family's 71-position model. Rfam says of the family: Transfer RNA (tRNA) molecules are approximately 80 nucleotides in length. Their secondary structure includes four short double-helical elements and three loops (D, anti-codon, and T loops). Lineage: Eukaryota; Viridiplantae; Streptophyta; Bryopsida; Hookeriales; Hookeriaceae. The record is from RNAcentral.